Molecule: long non-coding RNA, 1267 nt
Organism: Anarrhichthys ocellatus (wolf-eel)
Lineage: Eukaryota; Metazoa; Chordata; Actinopteri; Perciformes; Anarhichadidae
Exons: 3
Source: RefSeq, a predicted model, not a curated record
AUUUUUUACCAAAUUUUCUCAAUGUAAAAUGUCUAUGACACUUCAUUUCUGUUAAAUUAAGCUACUUGACUGUUGUUGUUUUUGGUUUAGUUUUUUUCAGAUGAAUGAAUAAGCCAAGUCCCCUCAUCUGUUUCAUAACCAAUUAUAACUCUUUUCACAUCUUUUAGUCUGUCAUUAAACAAUCCAUGGGGCAGAACGUUGAAAAGACUUGACAGGCUUACAUGAGUCAUUAGUUACAACCGUGUUUGUGAAGUCUGUUAAUGCUUUGAUAUUAUGUUUUGUCUUAACAGCAUGACAGCCAGGUAAAUAAAGACAUCUUAUAAUCAGUAUAUUUUGAUUCAUAUUGCCCUCUGCAUGAGGCUAGCCAAGCUGAUGACGUGUGUUUGUUUGUGUCUUGGCUGGCAUCUGAGGGCUCCUGCUCCUCCACGCGGCAGCUGGAAAUCACUUUCUCUGUCCUUUAUUAAUCUAAAUUUGAUGUUUGUCAGUUCAGAAACAUUUACGCGGAAUUUCUCACAUUUAUAACUCUGCCUUACUUGAGUCAUUACCAUAAAUAUAUUCAAAUAUUAUUUUAUAAUCAAAGUGUCUCUACACAUUUUUUGUGGGACUGCAAGCAACUGAAUUCACUGAUUUGACAAUUUAUUUUCCCUUUCCUCUUGCAUAAUACUGCAACCUGGACAGUACCUUCCAUUACAUACACUUGAAUUAUGCUACUGAAAACUGAUUAAUAUCAUGCAAUCUGCAUUAUUAAUAUGGACACACGGCAUAUUUAAACUUGACAUCCAAGCAUCGCUCUGCUUCUGGAUACAUGAUGCAAUAGCUUCCCUGCUGCAGUAAUUGAGCUUUUUCAUUAUUACACUACUGAGAGACAGGAAAUGCCAUGGAGUUUGACAUUUCUUUAGCUGUAUGUACUUUUACUAAAACUAUUCUAGGUCGGAGGUCACUUUGAAGCGGUAUGCUGGCUGUCUACGGGAGAUUGAAGUCUCGAGGACUCCCUAUAGUCUCCUCAGCAGUUCAGAUUACACUGGGGUCACUAAAGGAUGUAAUGUAGAGAACCUGUAUACAGUCAGUUUCUCUAAGCCGGGAUACAUGGAGCUGGCUGGUCUGUCGCUAGCGGUUGGCACAGAGAUCAGCCUGUCAUUCAGCACUCUGGCAGACACCGGGACCAUAAUGCUGGCAGUAGGCGGAGCUUCACCAAUCGGCCAGCAGGCCCGAAAAAAUAACCUCCUUAACUCCAAGAGGAGACGCAGACAGUCGGGAGAGGUGGGUU